AUGUGCCCGUUCCCAUCUGUCCUCUCCCUCUCGACCCGCGGCGAGGCUCCGGCGUCGCGCCCUGUCCUCCCCGUGUCCGGAGAUGGCCCGGCUGGGUGCCGCUCAUACGGAGGCUCCUUCGUCCAGGGCCUCCGCCGGCUCAAGAUUUGGCGGCCCUCUGCUCCUCAACGCCCCACAUCGAGCGCCCAAUCCAGGAAAAUAGCCCCGUUGCGCUGCGCUCCUCAUACCCCUGCGUCGUCACAAGAUGGUCCGGCUGGGCGCCGCUAUGACGGACGAGCGUUUGAUGUCCAUGGAAGCCAGCUCCACCACCCAGGCCCUCCUCUGCAAGGCCGGCGAGGACACUGCUUUCUCCAAGCAGAUCGCGCAGAGUACGCUUUGCCCUUCUCAAGCAAUUUCAAGGUUAAUUGUGAUACAUGUGGCAUUUCAAGUAGUAAUUCCGCCCAAAGAAAACCAGAUGGAGGAAAAAAUAAUGAAGAAUUGCUACACCGGAACCAGGGCCAUGCAGUGAUUGAUAUUUCGCUUGUGUCGCAGUUUCAUCUGAGAAUUCUGAACAUGGAAGAUGAAAGACAGAUGUUGGCUGAGUGUGCUGGUCCUAAAGUGUUCCUUCAAUGCUUCUUCACCUGGGAGGCCUCCAAACAAAUGCUAUGUAUUUGCUCUUAUGUGGACGUGGUGGCUAAUCUGAAACAAAAUUAUGAGAUGUUAUGUCUGAAGAAACAAACAACGACUGUGACAGUGGCUCAAAGAUGGAAACCGCCUGAAGCUGAUGUGCUGAAAGUGAACAUUGAUGGUAGUUUCUUCUCGGAUUCAGCUGAGGGAGGCUCUGGUUUUAUAGUCAGAGACAACUCAUGCAAUGCGGUGGGCUCAGGAGCAGGAAAACUUCGUCAGCUUCAAGACCCUAUGCAUGCAGAGGCGGAGGCGUGCUUGCAUGCAAUUCAGGAGGCUCAAACUUGGGCAAUGAGGAGAAUUACUAGACAGACGCACAGGAACUGGUAUAAGGAGAAGCAUCAAGCUAUAAAGGAGAUCAAGAGUAUCAACAUGGUUACAUGGAUGACCCGAGGGAGAGACGAAGGAAGAGUGAUAUGUGUCCUGCUCCUACACCUUUUUGGUUACACUUUUCCAUAA
This 1122-nucleotide ribosomal RNA is filed under the name Triticum aestivum (bread wheat). RNAcentral's name for it is "partial small subunit ribosomal RNA". Lineage: Eukaryota; Viridiplantae; Streptophyta; Magnoliopsida; Poales; Poaceae. The record is from RNAcentral.